RNAcentral lists this ribosomal RNA (407 nucleotides) under uncultured bacterium. RNAcentral describes it as "partial 16S ribosomal RNA". It matches the Rfam family "Bacterial small subunit ribosomal RNA", at positions 30 to 526 of the family's 1533-position model. The record is from RNAcentral.
AUUGAACGCUGGCGGCAGGCCUAACACAUGCAAGUCGAGCGGAGCGGCGGAAGGGUGAGUAAUGCCUGGUAAUCUGCCUGGUAGUGGGGGAUAACGUCCGGAAGCGGGAGCUAAUACCGCAUACUAUCAGAUGAGCCUAGGUCGGAUUAGCUAGUUGGUGGGGUAAAGGCCUAACAAGGCGAAGAUGCGUAACUGGUCUACGAGGAUGAUCAGACACACUGGAACUGAGACACGGUCAAGAGUCCUACGGGAGGCAGCAGUGGGGAAUAUUGGACAAUGGGCGAAAGUCUGAUCCAGCCAUGCCGCGUGUGUGAAGAAGGUCUUCGGAUUGUAAAGCACUUUAAGUUGGGAGGCGUUACCAACAGAAUAAGCACCGGCUAACUUCGUGCCAGCAGCCGCGGUAAUUC